RNAcentral lists this ribosomal RNA (556 nucleotides) under uncultured bacterium. RNAcentral's name for it is "partial 16S ribosomal RNA". It matches the Rfam family "Bacterial small subunit ribosomal RNA", at positions 355 to 902 of the family's 1533-position model. The record is from RNAcentral.
CGGGGAAUUUUGGACAAUGGGGGAAACCCUGAUCCAGCCAUCCCGCGUGUGCGAUGAAGGCCUUCGGGUUGUAAAGCACUUUUGGCAGGAAAGAAACGUCGCGGGUUAAUACCCCGCGAAACUGACGGUACCUGCAGAAUAAGCACCGGCUAACUACGUGCCAGCAGCCGCGGUAAUACGUAGGGUGCAAGCGUUAAUCGGAAUUACUGGGCGUAAAGCGUGCGCAGGCGGUUCGGAAAGAAAGAUGUGAAAUCCCAGAGCUUAACUUUGGAACUGCAUUUUUAACUACCGGGCUAGAGUGUGUCAGAGGGAGGUGGAAUUCCGCGUGUAGCAGUGAAAUGCGUAGAUAUGCGGAGGAACACCGAUGGCGAAGGCAGCCUCCUGGGAUAACACUGACGCUCAUGCACGAAAGCGUGGGGAGCAAACAGGAUUAGAUACCCUGGUAGUCCACGCCCUAAACGAUGUCAACUAGCUGUUGGGGGCCUUCGGGCCUUGGUAGCGCAGCUAACGCGUGAAGUUGACCGCCUGGGGAGUACGGUCGGCAAGAUUAAAACUC